Molecule: ribosomal RNA, 3010 nt
Filed under: Salmonella enterica
Lineage: Bacteria; Pseudomonadati; Pseudomonadota; Gammaproteobacteria; Enterobacterales; Enterobacteriaceae
Also listed under: 1 other name
Description: 23S ribosomal RNA
Rfam family: Bacterial large subunit ribosomal RNA
Source: RNAcentral
GGUUAAGCGACUAAGCGUACACGGUGGAUGCCCUGGCAGUCAGAGGCGAUGAAGGACGUGCUAAUCUGCGAUAAGCGCCGGUAAGGUGAUAUGAACCGUUAUAACCGGCGAUUUCCGAAUGGGGAAACCCAGUGUGACUCGUCACACUAUCAUUAACUGAAUCCAUAGGUUAAUGAGGCGAACCGGGGGAACUGAAACAUCUAAGUACCCCGAGGAAAAGAAAUCAACCGAGAUUCCCCCAGUAGCGGCGAGCGAACGGGGAGGAGCCCAGAGCCUGAAUCAGCAUGUGUGUUAGUGGAAGCGUCUGGAAAGGCGCGCGAUACAGGGUGACAGCCCCGUACACAAAAGCGCAUGUGCUGUGAGCUCGAUGAGUAGGGCGGGACACGUGGUAUCCUGUCUGAAUAUGGGGGGACCAUCCUCCAAGGCUAAAUACUCCUGACUGACCGAUAGUGAACCAGUACCGUGAGGGAAAGGCGAAAAGAACCCCGGCGAGGGGAGUGAAAAAGAACCUGAAACCGUGUACGUACAAGCAGUGGGAGCCCCACCACUAAGCCAGUGGUGAACUCCACAUACGCAUCCUUUGCUGAGGAUACGGUUAACGGAGCGAAAGCGACGUUCAACCGCAAAAAAAGAAGCAGAGGGGGCUUAGUGGUGGGGUGACUGCGUACCUUUUGUAUAAUGGGUCAGCGACUUAUAUUCUGUAGCAAGGUUAACCGAAUAGGGGAGCCGGAGGGAAACCGAGUCUUAAUUGGGCGUUAAGUUGCAGGGUAUAGACCCGAAACCCGGUGAUCUAGCCAUGGGCAGGUUGAAGGUUGGGUAACACUAACUGGAGGACCGAACCGACUAAUGUUGAAAAAUUAGCGGAUGACCUGUGGCUGGGGGUGAAAGGCCAAUCAAACCGGGAGAUAGCUGGUUCUCCCCGAAAGCUAUUUAGGUAGCGCCUCGUGAAUUCAUCUCCGGGGGUAGAGCACUGUUUCGGCUAGGGGGCCAUCCCGGCUUACCAACCCGAUGCAAACUGCGAAUACCGGAGAAUGUUAUCACGGGAGACACACGGCGGGUGCUAACGUCCGUCGUGAAGAGGGAAACAACCCAGACCGCCAGCUAAGGUCCCAAAGUCAUGGUUAAGUGGGAAACGAUGUGGGAAGGCCCAGACAGCCAGGAUGUUGGCUUAGAAGCAGCCAUCAUUUAAAGAAAGCGUAAUAGCUCACUGGUCGAGUCGGCCUGCGCGGAAGAUGUAACGGGGCUAAACCAUGCACCGAAGCUGCGGCAGCGACGCUGAUGCGUUGUUGGGUAGGGGAGCGUUCUGUAAGCCUGCGAAGGUGUGUCGUGAGGCAUGCUGGAGGUAUCAGAAGUGCGAAUGCUGACAUAAGUAACGAUAAAGCGGGUGAAAAGCCCGCUCGCCGGAAGACCAAGGGUUCCUGUCCAACGUUAAUCGGGGCAGGGUGAGUCGACCCCUAAGGCGAGGCCGAAAGGCGUAGUCGAUGGGAAACGGGUUAAUAUUCCCGUACUUGGUGUUACUGCGAAGGGGGGACGGAGAAGGCUAUGUUGGCCGGGCGACGGUUGUCCCGGUUUAAGCGUGUAGGUGUGUGUUCCAGGUAAAUCCGGUUCACUUUAACACUGAGGCGUGAUGACGAGGCACUACGGUGCUGAAGCAACAAAUGCCCUGCUUCCAGGAAAAGCCUCUAAGCAUCAGGUAACAUCAAAUCGUACCCCAAACCGACACAGGUGGUCAGGUAGAGAAUACCAAGGCGCUUGAGAGAACUCGGGUGAAGGAACUAGGCAAAAUGGUGCCGUAACUUCGGGAGAAGGCACGCUGACACGUAGGUGAAGUGAUUUACUCAUGGAGCUGAAGUCAGUCGAAGAUACCAGCUGGCUGCAACUGUUUAUUAAAAACACAGCACUGUGCAAACACGAAAGUGGACGUAUACGGUGUGACGCCUGCCCGGUGCCGGAAGGUUAAUUGAUGGGGUCAGCGCAAGCGAAGCUCCUGAUCGAAGCCCCGGUAAACGGCGGCCGUAACUAUAACGGUCCUAAGGUAGCGAAAUUCCUUGUCGGGUAAGUUCCGACCUGCACGAAUGGCGUAAUGAUGGCCAGGCUGUCUCCACCCGAGACUCAGUGAAAUUGAACUCGCUGUGAAGAUGCAGUGUACCCGCGGCAAGACGGAAAGACCCCGUGAACCUUUACUAUAGCUUGACACUGAACAUUGAGCCUUGAUGUGUAGGAUAGGUGGGAGGCUUUGAAGUGUGGACGCCAGUCUGCAUGGAGCCGGCCUUGAAAUACCACCCUUUAAUGUUUGAUGUUCUAACGUGGACCCGUGAUCCGGGUUGCGGACAGUGUCUGGUGGGUAGUUUGACUGGGGCGGUCUCCUCCUAAAGAGUAACGGAGGAGCACGAAGGUUGGCUAAUCCUGGUCGGACAUCAGGAGGUUAGUGCAAUGGCAUAAGCCAGCUUGACUGCGAGCGUGACGGCGCGAGCAGGUGCGAAAGCAGGUCAUAGUGAUCCGGUGGUUCUGAAUGGAAGGGCCAUCGCUCAACGGAUAAAAGGUACUCCGGGGAUAACAGGCUGAUACCGCCCAAGAGUUCAUAUCGACGGCGGUGUUUGGCACCUCGAUGUCGGCUCAUCACAUCCUGGGGCUGAAGUAGGUCCCAAGGGUAUGGCUGUUCGCCAUUUAAAGUGGUACGCGAGCUGGGUUUAGAACGUCGUGAGACAGUUCGGUCCCUAUCUGCCGUGGGCGCUGGAGAACUGAGGGGGGCUGCUCCUAGUACGAGAGGACCGGAGUGGACGCAUCACUGGUGUUCGGGUUGUCAUGCCAAUGGCACUGCCCGGUAGCUAAAUGCGGAAGAGAUAAGUGCUGAAAGCAUCUAAGCACGAAACUUGCCCCGAGAUGAGUUCUCCCUGAGACUUAGAGUCUCCUGAAGGAACGUUGAAGACGACGACGUUGAUAGGCCGGGUGUGUAAGCGCAGCGAUGCGUUGAGCUAACCGGUACUAAUGAACCGUGAGGCUUAACCUU